GACGAACGCUGGCGGCGUGCUUAACACAUGCAAGUCGAACGGAAAGGCCCUGCUUUUGUGGGGUGCUCGAGUGGCGAACGGGUGAGUAACACGUGAGUAACCUGCCCUUGACUUUGGGAUAACAUCAGGAAACUGGGGCUAAUACCGGAUAGGAGCUCCUGCUGCAUGGUGGGGGUUGGAAAGUUUCGGCGGUUGGGGAUGGACUCGCGGCUUAUCAGCUUGUUGGUGGGGUAGUGGCUUACCAAGGCUUUGACGGGUAGCCGGCCUGAGAGGGUGACCGGCCACAUUGGGACUGAGAUACGGCCCAGACUCCUACGGGAGGCAGCAGUGGGGAAAAUUGCACAAUGGGCGGAAGCCUGAUGCAGCAACGCCGCGUGCGGGAUGACGGCCUUCGGGUUGUAAACCGCUUUCGCCUGUGACGAAGCGUGAGUGACGGUAAUGGGUAAAGAAGCACCAGCUAACUACGUG
Molecule: ribosomal RNA, 468 nt
Filed under: uncultured bacterium
Lineage: Bacteria
Description: partial 16S ribosomal RNA
Rfam family: Bacterial small subunit ribosomal RNA
Source: RNAcentral